This 1232-nucleotide long non-coding RNA is filed under the name Equus caballus (horse). RNAcentral's name for it is "lncRNA (ENSECAG00000050909.1)". The record is from RNAcentral. Lineage: Eukaryota; Metazoa; Chordata; Mammalia; Perissodactyla; Equidae.
GCAGAAUCCAAUCUGCAAUGCAGGGUGAGGCGCUCUGCUGAGGACUCGCCGGGGAGCUGGGGCCAGCCCCAACCACUGCUCUUCUCUGGAGCAAAGCAGAGCCCUUUGGGUAUGGCCAGAGCAGCCUCCCUCCGCGGCGGUCACCUGACUUCAAACCACCCGUCUCUGUAGGGCCCAAUGACCAGAUACCAUUAACUACUGGGUGUCUCUGGAGCACCCCCAGCCCCUGAGGACGGCCACACCAUGGGCAGGAGGCCCUGGACUUUGACACUGCCUUGUUUCCUGGAAAUGAUACACUCCCCCUGAAGUGGCCGCUCUGAGGCUUACCCUGGGGGACUGGCUUGUGGGCACAGAGCCCAAGCACUGAAACAAUCUCGUCAGGAAAAAAGACGCUGAGAUUAUGGGGUGGGAGCGACUUCUGAUCUUUCCUGAGGAAGGCUUGUUUGUGUAAAAUUGCCACUUCUCGUGAUACUGGCUCCUCUAGGUUCAGCUCCCGUGCCCUGUUUUUGCAACUCAGAGCUCUGAAGUGCACUGUGAUUUAUGGCUACUGUCCUCAAAGCCACCUGAAAACAAGAAGCCCCUCUUCACCUGGACACACAGCUGAUACAAUAACCGCUAAUAACAGCUCUUAUUUCGUGUGCAUCAAUGAUCUUGCAGCUGGACGUGAUGGAAGUGGUUUUAAAUCCAAGCCUGUCUGACCCAAGAGGCGAUUUCACCCUUUAUGCUAUAAUGCUACCAGUUACGUAACUGCCUCCCUGCCAAGAGGCCAGCCUUGGCUGCUCCCCGUGGAAACAUCUAGGGAGACAGCGACCUCCAGGAGACAGCGACCUCCGCGACGCAGCACAGACUGAGCUGGGAAGCAUGGCUGCUGAUGAGUGGAGCAGGCCCACGUCCCGGGAUCCAAACCCACAAACCCUGGCCACAGAAGCGGAGCACGCAGAUGUUUAACUACUUGGCCACAGGGCCAGCCCCCACCAUUCUACUUUUUGUCUCCAUGAACUGACUGCUCUUCCUGCCUCAUAUCAGUGGGAUCAUACUGUAUUUGUCCACUGUGACUGGUCAUUUCACUCAGCAUAAUGUCCUCAAGGUUCAUCCAUGGUGAGACACGUAGCAGAUUUUCCUUCUUUUUUAAUGCUGAAAAAUAUUCCACUGUAUGGAUGUACCACAUUCUGUUUAUUCAUUCAUGUCAGUGGACAUUUGGGUUGUUUUCAAAUGUUCUUUUUUAAAAUGCU